ACUCAAGCCUUUUUUCCCCUGCUGGGGGCCGAGGCCCGGCCGGGAGCAGAGUCCGGCUGCCUGGAGCGGGUGGCGCGUGUCUGCAGCUGCUCCGGGUUGCCCGCUAGGCGCGCCGUCCCCAGCCCCGCCGCCGGCCCUCGGUACGCCCGGCCGCCUGCACCCCCAGGAGCAGCUGCAGUGAAUUAAACACAGAAGUGGAGCUGGGGGACUGAUUAGAAGCCUCAUUCAGUGCACCUGGGCCCCAGCAGGCCCAGCCAGGCGUGGAGGAAGAGGCAUUGAGGACUUUCCUUACCUGUUUUUCCAGCUCACCCACUGCCAGCAGAGACCUCCCAGCUAACUGGAACCUGUGUCCACAGAAUGCUGUCCAGUUUCAACGAGUGGUUUUGGCAGGACAGGUUCUGGUUACCACCCAAUGUCACGUGGACAGAGCUAGAAGACCGGGAUGGCCGUGUCUACCCCCACCCCCAGGACUUGCUGGCAGCCCUGCCCCUGGCGCUGGUCCUCCUGGCCAUGCGCCUUGCCUUUGAGAGAUUCAUUGGCCUGCCCCUGAGCCGGUGGCUGGGUGUGAGGGAUCAGACCAGGAGGCAAGUGAAGCCCAACGCCACGCUGGAGAAACACUUCCUCACGGAAGGGCACAGGCCCAAGGAGCCCCAGCUGUCUCUCCUGGCCGCCCAGUGUGGCCUCACGCUGUGGCAGACCCAGCGAUGGUUCCGGAGACGCCGGAACCAGGAUCGACCCCAGCUGACCAAGAAGUUCUGUGAGGCCAGCUGGAGGUUUCUCUUCUACCUGUCCUCCUUCGUGGGCGGCCUCUCGGUCCUGUACCACGAGUCAUGGCUGUGGGCACCAGUAAUGUGCUGGGACAGGUACCCAAACCAGACUCUGAAGCCAUCCCUGUACUGGUGGUACCUCUUGGAGCUGGGUUUCUACCUCUCACUGCUAAUCAGGCUGCCCUUUGAUGUCAAGCGCAAGGAUUUCAAGGAGCAGGUGAUACACCACCUCGUGGCGGUCAUCCUGAUGACCUUUUCCUACAGCGCCAACCUGCUGCGCAUUGGCUCUCUGGUGCUGCUGUUACACGAUUCCUCCGACUACCUGCUGGAGGCCUGUAAGAUGGUCAACUACAUGCAGUAUCAGCAAGUGUGCGACGCUCUCUUCCUCAUCUUCUCCUUUGUCUUCUUCUACACCCGACUGGUCCUCUUUCCCACCCAUGGGAUUGGAGUUGAUGAUAAAGAAUCAGCAGGAAGGCUGGGUACAGCGGCUCAUGCCUGUAAUCCCAGCACUUUGGAGGCUGAGGUGAACAGAUCACUUGAGGUCAGGAGUUCCAGACCAGCCUGGCCAACAUGGCAAAAACCACCUCUCUACUAAAAAUACAAAAAUUAGCUGGGCGUGGUGGCGGGCGUCUAUAAUCCCAGCUACUUGGGAGGCUGAGGCAGGAGAAUCGCUGGAACCUGGGAAGCGGAGGUUGCAGUGAGCCGAGAUCACGCCAUUGCACUCCAGCCUGGGUGACAAAGCAAGAUUCCGUCUCAAAAAAACAAAAAAAACUACAGCUGAGUUUGAGAAGAGGAUGUGGUGGGAGCUGGACUCCAGGACAGUGUCCCAGGCAACAAGCAAGGAGUUGUUUGAGGGGAGGAGCAGUGCUGGGGAACAUUCUUUCCAACUGGCUUGGGUUGCACAGUGAAAAUGAAGCCCCGCCCCUCCCAGCCUCCCUGGAAGACAAAGCCCCACCUCCGUCCGGCUACCUGGGAGAUGAGGCCCCACCCCUUUUUUACUCCUUGGGAGAUGAGGCCCCGCCCCUCUUAAACUCUGGGAGAUGGAGCCCUGCUCCCUGUGUCUUCCUGGGAGAUGAGGCCCCACCGCCUGCCUUCCUGACAUGAAGCCCCUCCCCUAUGAGGAUCCUCUACACCACAUACUACGAGUCCAUCACCAACAGGGGCCCCUUCUUCGGCUACUACUUCUUCAACGGGCUUCUGAUGUUGCUGCAGCUGCUGCACGUGUUCUGGUCUUGCCUCAUUCUGCGCAUGCUCUAUAGCUUCAUGAAGAAGGGCCAGAUGGAGAAGGACAUUCGUAGUGAUGUAGAAGAAUCAGACUCCAGUGAGGAGGAGGCGGCGGCCCAGGAACCUCUGCAGCUAAAGAACGGGGCAGCUGGAGGGCCCAGGCCAGCCCCCACUGAUGGCCCUCGGAGCCGGGGGGCCGGGCGUCUGACCAACAGGCACCCAACAGCCACAUAGCCGGGCGGGGCUGGCUGUAAGGGGUUGCCCCCCCGCCAGCGCCUUGGAUAUUUCUGGGGUGACUGGACUGGCGCCCCUGGGCCACCUUUCUGGAGACAGGGAGGGCCCCACCCGGGGUGGGCUGAUGAUCUGUCUCCAGCCCCUUCCUUCUGCCCACCCGCCCUUCUUCCCUCUGGGCAACUGGACAGAGCUGGGAGCCAGCAGCUGGAUGCUGUGGCUGGCCAGAGACACCUCCAGGCUGUAGCCUGGGGGCUGGGGGGAGCCCCAGGCUGAAAAGGGUCCAAUUAAAACAAAUGGAGCCAAA
Molecule: RNA transcript, 2529 nt
Organism: Pan troglodytes (chimpanzee)
Lineage: Eukaryota; Metazoa; Chordata; Mammalia; Primates; Hominidae
Gene: CERS4
Gene name: ceramide synthase 4
Exons: 13
Source: RefSeq, a predicted model, not a curated record